Drosophila pseudoobscura is the source of this 1738-nucleotide long non-coding RNA. RefSeq lists it as uncharacterized. The record is from RefSeq and is a predicted model, not a curated record. The transcript has 3 exons. NCBI's taxonomy places the organism in Eukaryota, Metazoa, Arthropoda, Insecta, Diptera, Drosophilidae.
CGAUGAUUCGUCGUCGUGUCAGAAAAAUAUUCCACUAGAUCGAUGUUGGAGGUUCUUCAAACUGUAACGAUGAGAGAGCGAACGUAAUCAGCAGAGGACACACAGCAGAACUGGAUAAAUGUAGAGCCUCCCGAGCAAGUCUAUCAUUAUGCACUGGCCAUAGAGGUGCUGAUGAAGCCUCGCCUAGGCUGGGGACCGCUACGAGGUUUGGGGGCACAUCGCACACACACACACGCUCCACACCGCCUACGAGAUCCAAAAUUCAAUGGCAAUUUUCACGCUGCUUUGCGAAUCGGAUUUCCACCUCUUGUUGGUUUGUUCUGGACAGAGCUAUAGCACCAGGCCAAAGGUAAUGAGGCACGACAAAUCGAAAUGGAGGCGAGGAGAGAGCGCACCGACUGAAAUGUAUUAUUAUGCAGCAGGCAGCAGCCAGGCCAACGAGAAGUGAGGUUAAGACGUACCCACACUAUAGAAGGCAGCCGCACACACAGACGAGGGCUGGCAAGCAGCGACGCCCUGUCCACUUGCUGGGCUUACGUUUCGGCUUACGUUACGUUACGCUGAUUUGGAGUUUAAUCAGAAGCGAAACAGAACACGAACAAAAGGCAAUAACAAACGAGAGAGAACAUGUGCAACAGUUGGUUGUUGUAAUUAUUGUUGUUGCGUGCUAACAAUAAACAAAUGCUGGGAAAUUGCAUUAUCUGCCGAUUAUGCAAUAACAAUGCACUGCAAGCAGCAGCAGCUUGCAGCCCUGGCUGAUAAACAGCUGAUUGGACUGCAACUCGCCUCAGAUUUCAAAAGAUGCACGCGGGACACAACACAACCUAAAAGUAUACCACACACACACACACAUACACACACACUAAACACUAAUACGCACCAAUAAUGGAAAUUCAAAAUACGUGGAGUUGCUCCUAUUCGGGUUGCAAAAGGGGACAAACAACAACACGCGGAGAGCCUGCCACAAAAAGAAGAAAGAAUUGUGGUACACAAAUUCCCUUUCCCUUCUUGCCGACUUGUGCUUGUGCGCCGCGCUCUCACUGCUUUACACUACUUUGGCUCUGCUUUGCGUUCACUCUUCACUACGCACUUCUUACGCUGCUGCUGUUGUUGUUGUUGUUGUUGCUGUUGUUUCGUAUGCUUUUGGCUUUUGCGGGUUUUCUUUUCUCUCUCACUCGUCGCACACUUUGCACUCGCCCUCUCGCUCACACUCACUCACGCGCUAGUGUGGUAGAACGUUUUGGUUACGAAUAUUGCCCCGAAUGUGAUUUUUCACACAAUUGUGUCGCAAAUUGAAAUGAUUUUUCAAUUGUUUGUCGUUACCGUGCAGUUGAUCUAGCGAUCUGCUAUAUUUCUGCAGCACUUUGCCACAUUAUACCGCCGAAAAGAGAAAUAUUGUAAAAUCUUGGUGCCCAGACAUGUGGUUUUUCGGAAAUUUCUGAACUCGAACAUGUGCUGUCGCUGUUUACGGGCCGCGGCGAGAGGCGUAAAAGGCUGAAUUCGUCAAUCCGCUUUUGGGGGUACUCGCUGGGGCGCCCUACUCGCUGGGAAACUUUUGAGGAAACAUGGGGUAUGGCCAACAGGCAACGGUUCACAGAAAAUUCAACGAGUUCUAGAAGAGAGCUGCAGUGUGACCGCAUACCAUCGGAAAUAUACCGAAAUACGCCAAAAAUACCUUCUCAUUUUCCAAACAUGAUGAACAAAACGAACUAAGCCCGCUUAAGCCCCUCUAUUUAAA